Molecule: small nucleolar RNA, 64 nt
Organism: Cornus florida
Lineage: Eukaryota; Viridiplantae; Streptophyta; Magnoliopsida; Cornales; Cornaceae
Product: small nucleolar RNA U49
Exons: 1
Source: RefSeq, a predicted model, not a curated record
ACCCUGUGAGGAAGAAAGCCCAUGCAUAGGAAAUGUCAUUUGACACUUUAACAGCAGUGGAACA